Molecule: ribosomal RNA, 797 nt
Filed under: uncultured bacterium
Lineage: Bacteria
Description: bacterial SSU rRNA
Rfam family: Bacterial small subunit ribosomal RNA
Source: RNAcentral
AGAGUUUGAUCAUGGCUCAGAUUGAACGUUGGCGGCAGGCCUAAAACAUGCAAGUCGAACGGUAACAGCGGAAGCUUGCUUCCGGCUGACGAGUGGCGGACGGGUGAGUAACACGUAGGAAUCUACCUAGUAGUGGGGGACAACCCGGGGAAACCCGGGCUAAUACCGCAUACGCUCUACGGAGGAAAGCAGGGGAUCUUCGGACCUUGCGCUAUUGGAGGAGCCUGCGUCGGAUUAGCUAGUUGGUGGGGUAAAGGCCUACCAAGGCGACGAUCCGUAGCUGGUCUGAGAGGACGAUCAGCCACACUGGAACUGAGACACGGUCCAGACUCCUACGGGAGGCAGCAGUUAGGAAUCUUGGGCAAUGGGCGCAAGCCUGACCCAGCCAUGCCGCGUGUGUGAAGAAGGCCUUCGGGUUGUAAAGCACUUUCAGCGGUGAAGAAAAGCUCAGGGCCAAUAUCCUUGAGUCUUGACGUUAACCGCAGAAGGAGCACCGGCUAACUCCGUGCCAGCAGCCGCGGUAAUACGGAGGGUGCGAACGUUAAUCGGAAUCACUGGGCGUAAAGCGCGCGUAGGCGGUUUGUUAAGCGGGAUGUGAAAGCCCCGGGCUUAACCUGGGAAUUGCAUUUCAAACUGGCGAACUAGAGUGCGGUAGAGGGAGGUAGAAUUUCCUGUGUAGCGGUGAAAUGCGUAGAUAUAGGAAGGAAUACCAGUGGCGAAGGCGGCCUCCUGGAUCGACACUGACGCUAAGGCGCGAAAGCGUGGGGAGCAAACAGGAUUAGAUACCCUAGUAGUCC